GUACUUCCUUCUAGAGCAGUCAACUGCAAUCUUCCGUACACGGCGUAUGGAAAAUAGAUAUUGUAAUAAAAUAAUGUGAGUUUUGGGGGUGCCUGGCUAAUGGUUCUCACAUUUGCUCGGCGUGUUCACAAACACAUUGUGUUAAGGGUGACUGGCGAUCGUAAUGCAACAAGUGAGAGGCAUAAAUCGUCAUGGCUAAAGCGACUGCAGGUACUUUUCUUGUCAUCAGUAACGAAUUUUGAGAAAGAGACGUUGGAGAAGGACUACUUCAAGAUGAUGGCAGACAUGAUGGUGCUCUGCUUGAUUCUGGCUGUCUCCUUGGCUCUCUGGGUCGUUUCUAUGACAGCCAGCACGUAUUAUGGGACGCUGCAGCCAGUGUCUCCCUGGCGCUGGUUCUUUUCUAUGCUGGUCCCCAUUAUUCUUGUCACACGUGCCAUCAAGCGGAAGAGCCUUGACCACAGUGGUGCGUUAGGAGCAAUGCUGGUUGGAUUCCUUCUGACGAUGGCCAACCUGAGUUUCUUCUCCUCCUUGCUGGCAUUUUUCAUAACGUCCUCGAAACUCACAAGAUGGCGGGAAGACGUUAAAAAGCGCAUUGAUUCCGAAUAUAAGGAAGGUGGCCAGAGGAAUUGGAUACAGGUGUUCUGCAAUGGGGGUGUGCCUGCCGAGCUGGCCCUGCUCUACAUGAUCGAGGUGGGCCCUGGCGAGAUACCGAUAGACUUUGGCAAGCAGUAUACCGCCAGCUGGAUGUGCCUCGCCCUGCUGGCCUCUCUGUCCUGUAGUGCAGGGGACACCUGGGCCUCAGAGGUGGGGCCCGUUCUCAGCAGAAGCUCCCCCAGACUCAUCACCUCCUGGAAGGUGGUCCCGCCAGGUACAAAUGGAGGAGUUACCCCUAUAGGCCUAGUAGCAAGCCUUCUGGGUGGGAUGACAGUGGGUGUGGCUUACUUCAUCUCGCAGACCUUAUUCGCUAGGGAUUUGAAUCUGGCAGCCCCUCAGUGGCCAAUCAUUGUGUUUGGGGCUGCAGCUGGGCUGAUUGGAUCACUUCUGGAUUCUUUCCUUGGAGCCAGCAUGCAGUACUCAGGUUAUGAUGAAAGCACUGGAAAGGUUGUGAACCAUGAGUCUCGGACUGCAAAACACAUCUGUGGAAAACCCAUUCUGGACAACAAUGCUGUGAAUCUGUUCUCUUCCAUCCUCAUUGCCUUGGUUAUGCCUGGCAUCGCAUGGGGCAUCUGGCCUAGAAAAUAAAAUCUAAAGCAGCCAAUGGAUGGUCAAAAAUCAAUUUUCAUAGAAUGUAAGGGUGCUGUAUUGAAACCUUUUGUUCUGUGAGAAGAUGAGUGCAGUAUUCUCUUUUCAAUUACUAUUUUAUAUUGAACCUGGAAAGAGUGAUUUAGUCUAAAAUGAAAAAGCAGAAGAAAAUGUUUGUUUAUUCCGCUGCAUUGUCUUAAGAGUUUUGGUGUAUCCAAAUGGAUCCAUGACCUCGUUACUUCCUCUGAUUACUGCAUAGUCAUAUUCACAUUACCGUAUGAUAAAUAAAUCUCCAGCACUUUGUUAAUAUUGUAUCAAGUUUGUUUAAUGGCAGUAAUAUAUGCAUAUAAUGGUGUUUGUAAUGUUUCCUGAAAGAAUGUGAAUGGAUACACCUUUAAUUGUUUACUAAUAUAUUUGCAUACUAGCAGUAUCUGGGACUUUACCACCAUGCUGAUGUUCAUUAUUCAAUGUGUGCAUAAAUCACAAGUUUUAUAUUCUGGUCAUUUUGUGAAGCAAACAAUGUAACUUUAUUUUCAGUUCACUGUGUCCCCAUCACUCUGAACAGAAUAAGGGAUUGGAAGACAGAUGGAUUUGUCUGAGUUGGUACUGUUAUCAUUUUUAGUAAAUCUUUGUUGUUGAAAGUAACCAUACAAAAUAUACACCUUUACUGGCUAAUUGUGCAAUGCCUUAGUUCCAGCAUCAAUGACUGUAAUGUGAGUUUGGACGUUGGACUCCACGGAUAACAUGUCCUUCUGAAAAGUAGGCGGAAACUCAAGGUCGGCUGUUAAAAUUCCUCAACGUGGGCUUGUUGCUCUCUGCCUGGUAAUGGAAACUUUUUCACGGAAUCACAAAAUCCGUUACUCACUCUGAGUUAUUUGCUGCCAUAUUAAGGUCGCUGAUAUAUUUUUGUAACAACAAAAACCUUACCAGUGGCAGAAUGACCGUAAUUCAAAAUGUGUAACGUUAUAAAUAAAAUUAUUUAAUCAAUAUAUUUCAUUUUUGUUUUCAUAACUGGCCAGCUGAACUUCCUCUACUGUUGCUGCAAACCAUCCAUUAAUACGCUUUACUUAUUCAUGUUCGUUCAAAUGUAUAUAUCUGUACACAUCUUUUAGGUCAACGAGCGGCACUGUGAUCCGUUUGUAAAAUUCCCCCAUGAAUAGGUCAAAUAAAUUCAGUCACCAUUUUUACAGUCAUUGUGAACUUAUUAAAAGCACACUAGUCGUCCAGUUAAUUGUUUUCAAAAAGGUAUUUCGUUCAUUCAGACGAUCCAGCUUAACCCGUUUAACCUAAAAACGCCCAAACGCGUCCAACCCUGAAAGGUCUCCAAAGCCCUGCAGCUCCAGCCAAUCAUUUUAUCGCGUUUGAAAUACGGCACACGCCGAAGCUGCAGCCAAUUAGAUGCUGAUAUUUGAAACACGUCACACGGCGCCACCUUCGAAAUGCUUUGUUUAUAGACGGAAGGCGCAAUACUGUUAAACAGGUGAGACGAGAGCGAGUUAACAAUACAAGAAGUGAAUAAGCUGCAGAAUUACUACUCGACGGUAAGAAAAUGAAUUCGGGAAAAGCACUACAGACAGCUGCUCAUCCAAACCAGCAUCCACCAACCCCAAGCUUUGCGAAGAGAAGGAAGGCACAAGAAAAGUAAGUCUUGAAACAGACAUCAGAAGUCCGACAGACAGCAUGAUAUCUCCAUGUACACGCAGACUCAUGAAGAAAGUGACUAAGGACGUGCAAACCUUACCACCCGUGCCUGUGUUUACUGCAGAAGACAAGGAAAACACUCCCACAUGAAUAUCUUGCAUCUAAUGAAUGAAGGUGUCUCAAUAUUUAACCUGCUUGCAUUUUGCUCUUGAUGCGUGAAAUGGCUAGUAGUCUCAAGUGCAUCAAACUAGUUUGGUAUCGACACAGAAGGCUCUGGCUGUUUGGGUCAGACUCCUUAAUCCACACUGAUAGUUAUCCAGUGUUCUGAGCUUUGUGGUUAUGACUGAUAAUUGCAUAUGGCUUGGAACGGUGCACAGCCAAAAGGCCUGAUGCCAAAUGUCAUUAAACGUUGAACCCCUUAUAUAAUUUGACUGCUGCUUAUCGCAUCAGGUAAAAUUCUGAUGGUAGAUGUGCUUCUGCUGUAAGUGGUGAUUGAUUAAUAAUUAAAGGAAAAUUAGGGUGUUAGUGCUUUUAGCAGUCUUGGGUGUUAUCCGAUUGGAGCGUGAAUUGUCCUAUGGGUUGUUGGUACUAUGUAGGCCCCUUUGAUCUAAAGGCACUUAGGGGCUUUUGGGGGCUGUUAUUGUUCUGUUGGAAAGCCUAGUUAGUGUUGGGUGAGUUUUUAUGCAUCGCAAACUGCAUUUCUGAGACUGUCUGAAUGCUACCCAACUAAUGUUCAGUUUGCACACUGUUAAACUGCCUAUGUAUGACUUCGCCACACACUAUAUCCUUCCCUAAGAAAAAUAAAGGUAAUAUAUUUAUUGGCAA
Brienomyrus brachyistius is the source of this 3708-nucleotide RNA transcript. It is a transcript of the gene named transmembrane protein 19, with no coding region annotated. The record is from RefSeq and is a predicted model, not a curated record. The transcript is spliced from 10 exons. Lineage: Eukaryota; Metazoa; Chordata; Actinopteri; Osteoglossiformes; Mormyridae.